GCGUUAUCCGGAUUUAUUGGGUUUAAAGGGAGCGCAGGCGGACUCUUAAGUCAGUUGUGAAAUACGGCGGCUCAACCGUCGGACUGCAGUUGAUACUGGGAGUCUUGAGUGCACACAGGGAUGCUGGAAUUCAUGGUGUAGCGGUGAAAUGCUCAGAUAUCAUGAAGAACUCCGAUCGCGAAGGCAGGUAUCCGGGGUGCAACUGACGCUGAGGCUCGAAAGUGCG
Molecule: ribosomal RNA, 226 nt
Filed under: uncultured bacterium
Lineage: Bacteria
Description: partial 16S ribosomal RNA
Rfam family: Bacterial small subunit ribosomal RNA
Source: RNAcentral